Molecule: long non-coding RNA, 546 nt
Organism: Heterocephalus glaber (naked mole-rat)
Lineage: Eukaryota; Metazoa; Chordata; Mammalia; Rodentia; Bathyergidae
Source: Ensembl
GAUGACUGCAAUCUGACCAAGUGUCCUGAAUUUGUUUGGGGAAAUCAUAAAGCAAAAGACUCUAAGUGUUUGAAACAAAGGUGUUUUAAUGCAGUGACCUAUUUUCACAGGUGAAAUAAGCAUAAGAAAACAAAAAAUAGCAAGAAGAGGACUCAAAUUAGCAACCACAAUAAAAGGGUCAGCAGAGUUCCAGGGCUGAUGUCAAGUUCAUCUUUCUGGUAGAAGCUGGGCUGGAGCCAUGAAGGAGAAGGUACAAGGUCCUUCUGAGCCUGCAUAGCAUCAUGAGCUACAAGAAGUAACAAUAAGCUGAGUGGUGAAAGGAGGUAUCUCAGAGACAGAGAGCAGCUCAUCCACAGUGAUCCUUGUUCCUUUAACAUGAUGAGGACACCACCCAGGUAGCAAUCCCUGUCCUCCCUUGACAGUCCACAGUUCCUUUUUAUUCAGUUAUGCCAGUGUCAUUAUCUCUCAGUUUCUGCCUUCUGUGAAUGCUACGAUCCUCCUGAGACAUGUCAUCUCCAUCACCACAAGUCUAGUAUAUGCGCUGCC